This 3055-nucleotide long non-coding RNA is filed under the name Nicotiana tabacum (common tobacco). Its description in RNAcentral is "long non-coding RNA (NTAB_LNC010487)". The record is from RNAcentral. Lineage: Eukaryota; Viridiplantae; Streptophyta; Magnoliopsida; Solanales; Solanaceae.
GGGCACGGACCUUACCUUACUAAUCCUAUGGAGGCAAAGAAAAAGACAUAUAUGUGUGUAUACGUACUAACAAAAUAGAAAGUGAAGAUUUUGAACGGCAAGAAACUCCGGGUGAAGAUGAAACUAACAAUAUUUCUGACUUUGCCGAUGAGAUGAUAAUCGAGGAUGAUGGCCUAACACCUGAAUUGUUGCAAUUUGCUGAAUAUCUUCAAAAUAUGCUAGCCGCCAAUUCCGAUGAAGAGCAAGGAAUUACGAGUUCAGACGAUUAUGACGAUCAAAAAAUUGAAGGUAACAAUUCUGACUCCAGUGAUAACUCUGUUAACUGAAUGCAAUUCAAGUUGACUUCCAAUACAAUAUAUGUUUCAUUCUAUUAUGCUUUGGGGUUUUAAUUUCUUCUUUUGUAGUUCAAACUGUUAUGCACAUCAAUGUUAAAUCUUGAAUGUUAAAAUGAAUCUGUUAUCAGUAUGGGAUGUUCCCAAUUCAAAUUUUCCAAAUUAAUUUUUGUGUUAUUAAUUUAUUAUUUUAUUUUUGCUAAAUAUUUCUCUUGGGAUUGGGAGCACUUAAUAUCUUUUAUUUACAUAACGUCAAAAAAUGUUCAGUCAGAAAUUUGCUAUAUAGUUGCACCUCCGAAAAUGUUAGAAUCCUUAUUGAUGAUUUAGUCCAAUCAUUUGUUAAAAUUUUGGUUUUGGAUUAAAUUUGGUCUAGGCCGUGCACAUCAUCCUUUCAGGAUGUCUGAUUUUGUUGAAUGGGCUAAUUUCUAUCCAAUGUGAAAUAGUUAAAGUCUAAAUUUUAACUUAUAAGAAAAAUUAAGGUAAUUUUUAAUUGAUUUUAAAGUCCUAAAUAAUAGAAAUUAUAGUUUAAAUAAAGAAAGAUUUAGUAAUCAAAAUUUUAGAUGAUUUCAAAGUAUUAUAGAAAAAUAAUUAAAUUGAUAGUUUUGUUCAAUGUGAAUUUUAUUUUAAGUAAAUUCCACUUAACCCUCUUAACCUUUAAGGGUUAGGAAACAAUAACCCUCUUGGACAAUAUUUUUCGGUGAGUUUUAAAAAAUUUAUUGACGGAAAAAGAUUUUUCUUUUGUUCUAUAGACAAAGCAUUAACUACUUACUCUAAACUUCUAAUGGUGAUACAAUUUUAAAAUGUGAUAGGAACUAUAAGAUAAACAAAAGAUGAUGAAACAUCUAAUUAAAAACACUCUCCAUAUCGCUCAGCAUUCUUAAGCUAUUGUUCGCUUAGAAACACUAUCAAUAUUUCUCAUAAUUCUGAAGCUAAUAUUGUUAUUCUAAUGCUCAACUUAUUCGCGAGUACCAAUUUAUUCAGACGCACCUCAAGUUUUGGCCUUUAUUUAUAAAGCCACCCAUUCAAUUCUCUCAAUCAAACUUUUCGAUAUAGUAAAAAUUUUCCCAUUAACUAAUGUAGCACCUAAAGUCCCUAGAGAACUAUUCAAGUGAAGAAAUGAGUUUGUUUUGAUAUCUUUUGGUUGUUACGGUGAAGUGUUGUUAUAGAGGACAUAUAUUAUAACAUAAUAUAAAAUUGAUUCCAAGAAAAACUUGACUUUUAUAGUGAAUGACUAUUAUAUGGAGAUGUUGUUAUAAAGAGGUCUGACUGUAUACCAAUAUCUUAGGGAUCAAUCAUUUGUCUAUAAUAAACGUGUACAAAGUCUUCUGAGUUCAUCUAUGAUUGUGUGAAGGAGAGAGAGAGAGAGAGAGAUUUGAGAUGGUUUUUAGGUUAUGCUUCCAAUGUACACAAUCUCUCUCUCGGCAUAACAUUGUUUUGCGCGCAUUUAGAUUAGGUGGUUAGAGAUUUGAGUGGUUUUUAGGUAAUGGCUCUUUCGAUCCGACAAAAGGGGGCUAAAAUUGAAAUAAUUCGGUGGCUAAGUGUGUAAUACUUUGUCUAAUUGAGUGGCUACCAAGAGUGGACCUAUAGGACGUAGUUUCAAGGAGAAACUACGACAUUUCAUUUAAUGAAAUCAGAGAUCAGAUCUCAGCCAUUCAAGCCCUUUGAUCCAAUGGCUGAGAUCUAUCCUUAAUCAAGGUAUAUAAAUUCUUAAAAAUCAGAAUUUUUGCCGUUUCACAACCCUAGAGUCUUCCCCUAUCUCUCUCUCUUAUCUCUCCAUCUCUGCCGCCACCACUCCCUCGACGGCGCCGUCGGCCACCAAAAUUCGUCUCGACGGCAGACCAUCUCAAAACCAUCCAAAUUUUAUAUCAAUUUUCUCCUAUUUUCCUCCUCUACCCAAAUCCACAAGCUAAACCACCAAAAACAUCACUUACGCCUUGCUUUGCCACUGUGUGGUUGCCUCAAUCACCUCCACAAUUAUACUCAUCUCCUUGUCUCGUCCUCCUCAUUCCAAUAUCCCAAACCUAUAUCCUUGAACUCCCUCUCAAACUCCACGAAUUAAUCCAAAACUAAAACCCUAGCUGUCACCUUUUCUUCUCUAUUGUGAAAUCACAGCCACCACGACCUAACCACCACUACAAGUGCCAGAACCUCGUCUCCUCCAUGGUUUAGUGCUGACUCCGGACACACUUUCUUGUUGGUGAUGAAAAUCAUUGCCGACUUCUGAUUCGUUGAAGUUUAAGGCUACUAUUUCCACCAAUAAGAAAGACGUGUUUGAUAGUCGAGCUCGUCUCGUGGCAUAGUUAUGUUCAAGGAAGCUUAGGGUUGAAUUAGGAAAGUGUCGGUGACUAAAGACUCUCUUAGCUGUAGAUAUUAGAGAGAUUACUGGGCUAUAUCAUAUUGGGCCUUAGUAAUAAGAAGGAGAAUGGGCCAGAAUAAAGGAGAGAGUAGAGGCCCACGUAAAUAGCUUCAUCAGCCCACUCAAGCAAUAAUCAAUAAAUAGAAGAAUCAAGAAUGAAGCAUGGCAUGCAAAAUCUGGUAAAUUCUGUUACAACUCCUAACCACUUUUCUCUCAAUUCUUCUCUCCUAAUUAUCUCUCUCUAAUGACCUUUCUAACUCUUAUCUCUCUUCUUCUUCUUCUUCUUUCAGGUUAAUAUGGAGGAUUAGUUAGAAUCAAUCUUGUAACCAAUUCUAUUAGCCAUUGAUCAAUAAAAAUCCUCAUUUCU